CAAUAGCGUAUAUUAAAGUUGUUGCGGUUCAACAGCUCGUAGUUGGAUUUCUGCUGACGACGACCGGUCCGCCCACUGGGUGAGCAUCUGGUUCGGCCUUGGCAUCUUCUUGGUGAACGUAUCUGCACUUGACUGUGUUCAAAAUUAGAGUGUUUCAAGCAGGCAUACGCCUUGAAUACAUUAGCAUGGAAUAAUAAGAUAGGACCUCGGUUCUAUUUUGUUGGUUUCUAGAGUUGAGGUAAUGAUUAAUAGGGAUAGUGGGGGCGCUUCGUAUUUAAUUGUCGGAGGUGAAAUUAUUGGAUUUGUUAAAGACGGACUACUGCGAAAGCAUUUGCCAAGGAUGUUUUCAUUGAUCAAGAACGAAAGUUAGGGGAUCGAAGACGAUCAGAUACCA
Molecule: ribosomal RNA, 394 nt
Filed under: uncultured eukaryote
Lineage: Eukaryota
Description: SSU rRNA
Rfam family: Eukaryotic small subunit ribosomal RNA
Source: RNAcentral